Molecule: ribosomal RNA, 506 nt
Filed under: uncultured bacterium
Lineage: Bacteria
Description: partial 16S ribosomal RNA
Rfam family: Bacterial small subunit ribosomal RNA
Source: RNAcentral
AUUGAACGCUGGCGGCAGGCCUAACACAUGCAAGUCGAACGGUAACAGGAAACAGCUUGCUGUUUCGCUGACGAGUGGCGGACGGGUGAGUAAUGUCUGGGAAACUGCCUGAUGGAGGGGGAUAACUACUGGAAACGGUAGCUAAUACCGCAUAACGUCGCAAGACCAAAGAGGGGGACCUUCGGGCCUCUUGCCAUCGGAUGUGCCCAGACGGGAUUAGCUAGUAGGUGAGGUAACGGCUCACCUAGGCGACGAUCCCUAGCUGGUCUGGGAGGAUGACCAGCCACACGGGAACUGAGACACGGUCCAGACUCCUACGGGAGGCAGCAGUGGGGAAUAUUGCACAAUGGGCGCAAGCCUGAUGCAGCCAUGCCGCGUGUAUGAAGAAGGCCUUCGGGUUGUAAAGUACUUUCAGCGGGGAGGAAGGGAGUAAAGUUAAUACCUUUGCUCAUUGACGUUACCCGCAGAAGAAGCACCGGCUAACUCCGUGCCAGCCGCCGCGGUAA